UGCAGUCGAGCGAGAAGUGGAGCAAUCCAUGAGUAAAGCGGCGUACGGGUGAGUAACACGUGGAUGAUCUACCCUCUAGUGGGGAAUAACCCAGGGAAACCGGGGCUAAUACCGCAUAAGCACGAGAGUGGAAAGCAGCAAUGCGCUGGAGGAGGAGUCCGCGGCCGAUUAGCUAGUUGGCAGGGUAAAAGCCUACCAAGGCAAAGAUCGGUAGCCGGCCUGAGAGGGCACACGGCCACACUGGCACUGAAACACGGGCCAGACUCCUACGGGAGGCAGCAGUGGGGAAUCUUGCACAAUGGGGGAAACCCUGAUGCAGCGACGCCGCGUGAGCGAUGAAGCCCUUCGGGGUGUAAAGCUCUUUCGGCAGGGAAGAUUAUGACGGUACCUGCAGAAGCAGCUGCGGCUAACUACGUGCCAGCAGCCGCGGUAAUACGUAGGCAGCGAGCGUUGUUCGGAGUUACUGGGCGUAAAGGGUGUGUAGGCGGUCGUUUAAGUUUGGUGUGAAAUCUCCCGGCUCAACUGGGAGGGUGCGCCGAAUACUGAAUGACUAGAGUGCGGGAGAGGUGAGUGGAAUUCCUGGUGUAGCGGUGAAAUGCGUAGAUAUCAGGAGGAACACCGGUGGUGUAGACGGCUCACUGGACCGUAACUGACGCUGAGACACGAGAGCGUGGGUAGCAAACAGGAUUAGAUACCCUGGUAGUCCACGCCCUAAACGAUGCAUAUUUGGUGUGGGCAGUUCAUUCUGUCCGUGCCGGAGCUAACGCGUUAAAUAUGCCGCCUGGGGA
This 788-nucleotide ribosomal RNA is filed under the name uncultured Bacillota bacterium. RNAcentral's name for it is "bacterial SSU rRNA". It matches the Rfam family "Bacterial small subunit ribosomal RNA", at positions 56 to 879 of the family's 1533-position model. The record is from RNAcentral. Lineage: Bacteria; Bacillati; Bacillota.